CUCUUGCAAUUAGGUAUAUGAUGGAUACGUCUAUCAUUUCAAAUCAAGGGAAUAAAGGAGUCUAAUUCCAUGCUGAAUAAGCAAAAAAAUAAAUAAAGAUGAAAACCGAUAGUAAUGUUAAAUGAACUCCGUUAAGCAUCU
Molecule: non-coding RNA, 141 nt
Filed under: unclassified sequences
Description: RT-14 RNA
Rfam family: RT-14 RNA
About the family: Cloacimonetes, Firmicutes, Proteobacteria. Nearby to self-splicing intron genes
Source: Rfam by way of RNAcentral